This 527-nucleotide ribosomal RNA is filed under the name uncultured bacterium. Its description in RNAcentral is "bacterial SSU rRNA". It matches the Rfam family "Bacterial small subunit ribosomal RNA", at positions 984 to 1509 of the family's 1533-position model. The record is from RNAcentral.
ACAUCCAGAGAACUUAGCAGAGAUGCUUUGGUGCCUUCGGGAACUCUGAGGACAGGUGCUACAUGGCUGUCGUCAGCUCGUGUUGUGAAAUGUUGGGUUAAGUCCCGCAACGAGCGCAACCCUUAUCCUUUGUUGCCAGCGGCUCGGCCGGGAACUCAAAGGAGACCUGCCGGUGAUAAACCGGAGGAAGGUGGGGAUGACGUCAAGUCAUCAUGGCCCUUACGGCCAGGGCUACACACGUGCUACAAUGGCGCAUACAAAGAGAAGCGACCUCGCGAGAGCAAGCGGACCUCAUAAAGUGCGUCGUAGUCCGGAUUGGAGUCUGCAACUCGACUCCAUGAAGUCGGAAUCGCUAGUAAUCGUAGAUCAGAAUGCUACGGUGAAUACGUUCCCGGGCCUUGUACACACCGCCCGUCACACCAUGGGAGUGGGUUGCAAAAGAAGUAGGUAGCUUAACCUUCGGGAGGGCGCUUACCACUUUGUGAUUCAUGACUGGGGUGAAGUCGUAACAAGGUAAGCGUAGCGAG